GCGACCACCCUACGUUUAGUUGCUAACGCGUGAAGGCGAGCACUCUAGACGAACUGCCGUUGACAAAACGGAGGAAGGUGGGGAUGACGUCAAAUCAUCAUGCCCCUUAUGUUCUGGGCUACACACGUGCUACAAUGGCCGGUACAGACGGACGCAAAGCCGCGAGGUGGAGCAAAUCCUAAAAAGCCGGUCUCAGUUCGGAUUGCAGGCUGCAAUCCGCCUGCAUGAAGUCGGAAUCGCUAGUAAUCGCAGGUCAGCAUACUGCGGUGAAUACGUUCCCGGGCCUU
RNAcentral lists this ribosomal RNA (287 nucleotides) under uncultured Pelotomaculum sp. RNAcentral describes it as "partial 16S ribosomal RNA". It matches the Rfam family "Bacterial small subunit ribosomal RNA", at positions 1096 to 1382 of the family's 1533-position model. The record is from RNAcentral. Lineage: Bacteria; Bacillati; Bacillota; Clostridia; Eubacteriales; Desulfotomaculaceae.